This 143-nucleotide microRNA precursor is filed under the name Medicago truncatula (barrel medic). RNAcentral describes it as "miR7698 stem-loop (mtr-MIR7698)". Lineage: Eukaryota; Viridiplantae; Streptophyta; Magnoliopsida; Fabales; Fabaceae. The record is from miRBase by way of RNAcentral.
UAAUUUGCUGUGAUAGCAGUUCUUUCAGUUUUUCAUCAAAGUUUUCUGGAUAUAGUAGAUAGUCUACUAGAAGGUGGUAGACUAUCUGUUAUAUCCAGACAACUUUGAUGAAAAGCUGGGAGGACAACUAUCACAGCAAAUUA